Betta splendens (Siamese fighting fish) is the source of this 559-nucleotide long non-coding RNA. RefSeq lists it as uncharacterized. The transcript is spliced from 4 exons. The record is from RefSeq and is a predicted model, not a curated record. Lineage: Eukaryota; Metazoa; Chordata; Actinopteri; Anabantiformes; Osphronemidae.
AAACUCAGCCGGCAGGAAAGACUGCGAUGCAUCGCGGGAUAAAAAGCCAACAAGGAGAAGUAGCGGGGCUGAAAUAAAGCGUUAGGACCGACGCGUCGUCACACGAGUAAUCGUGCAGCUGGACCCAUGGUCUGGUCCUGCGAUGGACUGGCGACCUGUCCAGGGUGCACCCCGCCUCCCGCCCAUAGCCAGCUGGGAUAGGCUCCAGCCCCCCCGCGACCCCAUGUACAGGAUUAAGCGGUUGAAGAUGGAUGGAUGGACCCAUGGUCUGUGAGUGAAGCGCAGACGAGUUACCCAACAUUACAAGGAGCUGGCGGUUCGGCGGUCCUUGCAUCUGGCAAGGACCGGAAACCAGAAACAGAAAAACAGCCUAAACAGAAGGGUUGAAUGAGCACUGAGUACACAAAGACUCUUAGAAGGGACAACCAUCUUGUUUUUCCAGCCACUAACAGCAGAUGAGGAAAAGAAGAGAGUUGUGGCUAAAUGAAGAAUCUGUGGCUUUCUAACAACUGUCUGCUUUGAUUCGAAAUAAAAAGCUGCUAAACAAGUUAGAAAUUAU